Molecule: ribosomal RNA, 954 nt
Filed under: Hymeniacidon perlevis
Lineage: Eukaryota; Metazoa; Porifera; Demospongiae; Suberitida; Halichondriidae
Description: SSU rRNA
Rfam family: Eukaryotic small subunit ribosomal RNA
Source: RNAcentral
AGACUAAGCCAUGCAUGUCUAAGUAUAAACGCUUCUAUACUGUGAAACUGCGAAUGGCUCAUUAAAUCAGUUAUAGUUUAUUUGAUGGUUUCUUACUACUUGGAUAACCGUGGUAAUUCUAGAGCUAAUACAUGCACAAAGUCCCGACUUUAUGGAAGGGAUGUAUUUAUUAGAUCCAAAACCAAUGCGAGUCUUCGGGCUCGGUUCUUGGUGAUUCAUGAUAACUGCUCGAACCGUAUGGCCCUUGCGCCGACGGUGCUUCAUUCAAAUUUCUGCCCUAUCAACUUUCGAUGGUACGGUAGUGGCCUACCAUGGUUGCAACGGGUGACGGAGAAUUAGGGUUCGAUUCCGGAGAGGGAGCCUGAGAAACGGCUACCACAUCCAAGGAAGGCAGCAGGCGCGCAAAUUACCCAAUCCCGACUCGGGGAGGUAGUGACAAUAAAUAACAAUGCCGGGCUAUUGUAGUCUGGCAAUUGGAAUGAGUACAAUCUAAAUCCCUUAACGAGGAACAAUUGGAGGGCAAGUCUGGUGCCAGCAGCCGCGGUAAUUCCAGCUCCAAUAGCGUAUAUUAAAGUUGUUGCAGUUAAAAAGCUCGUAGUUGGAUUUCGGGGUGGCCUGCCUGGUCCACCGCAAGGUGAGUACUGGUCAGCCGCCCUUCCUCUCGAAAGCCCCGACUGCUCUUCACUGUAGUGGUCGGGUAGUUCGGGACGUUUACUUUGAAAAAAUUAGAGUGUUCAAGGCAGGCUAUCGCCUGAAUACAUUAGCAUGGAAUAAUGGAAGAGGACCUCGGUCCUAUUUUGUUGGUUUCUAGGGCCGAAGUAAUGAUUAAGAGGGACAGUUGGGGGCAUUCGUAUUUAAUUGUCAGAGGUGAAAUUCUUGGAUUUAUGAAAGACGAACUAGUGCGAAAGCAUUUGCCAAGGAUGUUUUCAUUAAUCAAGAACGAAAGUUAGGGGU